AGUGGGGAAUAUUGGGCAAUGGAGGCAACUCUGACCCAGCAACGCCGCGUGAGGGAAGAAGGUUUUCGGAUUGUAAACCUCUGUCCUAGGGGACGAAGAAAGUGACGGUACCCUAGGAGGAAGCCCCGGCUAACUACNUGCCAGCAGCCGCGGUAAUACGUAGGGGGCGAGCGUUGUCCGGAAUUACUGGGCGUAAAGGGUGCGUAGGCGGUUUGGUAAGUUAGAUGUGAAAUCCCCGGGCUUAACUCGGGAGUUGCAUUUAAAACUGCUGAACUAGAGUGCAGGAGAGGAAAGCGGAAUUCCUAGUGUAGCGGUGAAAUGCGUAGAUAUUAGGAGGAACACCAGUGGCGANNNCGGCUUUCUGGACUGUAACUGACGCUGAGGCACGAAAGCGUGGGGAGCGAACAGGAUUAGAUACCCUGGUAGUCCACGCCGUAAACGAUGGAUACUAGGUGUAGGGAUCUNNNNAGGUCUCUGUGCCGCAGCAAACGCAAUAAGUAUCCCGCCUGGGGAGUACGACCGCAAGGUUG
This 530-nucleotide ribosomal RNA is filed under the name uncultured bacterium. RNAcentral describes it as "bacterial SSU rRNA". It matches the Rfam family "Bacterial small subunit ribosomal RNA", at positions 353 to 896 of the family's 1533-position model. The record is from RNAcentral.